GAUGAACGCUGGCGGCGUGCCUAAUACAUGCAAAUCGAGCGAACAGACGAGGAGCUUGCUCCUCUGACGUUAGCGGCGGACGGGCGAGUAACACGUGGAUAACCUACCUAUAAGACUGGGAUAACUUCGGGAAACCGGAGCUAAUACCGGAUAAUAUAUUGAACCGCAUGGUUCAAUAGUGAAAGACGGUUUUGCUGUCACUUAUAGAUGGAUCCGCGCCGCAUUAGCUAGUUGGUAAGGUAACGGCUUACCAAGGCAACGAUGCGUAGCCGACCUGAGAGGGUGAUCGGCCACACUGGAACUGAGACACGGUCCAGACUCCUACGGGAGGCAGCAGUAGGGAAUCUUCCGCAAUGGGCGAAAGCCUGACGGAGCAACGCCGCGUGAGUGAUGAAGGUCUUCGGAUCGUAAAACUCUGUUAUUAGGGAAGAACAAAUGUGUAAGUAACUAUGCACGUCUUGACGGUACCUAAUCAGAAAGCCACGGCUAACUACGUG
Molecule: ribosomal RNA, 497 nt
Filed under: uncultured bacterium
Lineage: Bacteria
Description: partial 16S ribosomal RNA
Rfam family: Bacterial small subunit ribosomal RNA
Source: RNAcentral